Molecule: ribosomal RNA, 253 nt
Filed under: uncultured bacterium
Lineage: Bacteria
Description: partial 16S ribosomal RNA
Rfam family: Bacterial small subunit ribosomal RNA
Source: RNAcentral
UACGUAGGCAGCAAGCGUUGUUCGGAGUUACUGGGCGUAAAGGGUGUGUAGGCGGUCUUCUAAGUUUGGUGUGAAAUCUCCCGGCUCAACUUGGAGGGUGCGCCGAAAACUGGGAGGCUAGAGUACUGGAUGGGAGAGUGGAAUUCCUGGUGUAGCGGUGAAAUGCGUAGAUAUCAGGAGGAACACCGGUGGUGUAGACGGCUCUCUGGACAGUAACUGACGCUGAGACACGAAAGCGUGGGUAGCAAACAGG